RNAcentral lists this long non-coding RNA (802 nucleotides) under Panax ginseng (ginseng). RNAcentral describes it as "long non-coding RNA (PGIN_LNC011208)". Lineage: Eukaryota; Viridiplantae; Streptophyta; Magnoliopsida; Apiales; Araliaceae. The record is from RNAcentral.
CGUGUGUGCUCCACAACAAUGUUAACUGAUAUAAAAUCAAAUUUAAGACAUAAUAGAUAUCUUUGAAGGCAUCAUACAGUGCAAAUUCACAAAAUUCACGAACAAGCUAUAUCCAACUAAAGUCAAACAUCCACCAAGUUCAAGAGUCCAAUCUGGGAUACUUAUGCUUUACUUUUCAUUACGGGGGCUUUUUGCUCUUUUCCCGUUUUAUUGUUUUUUUUUUAACCAUAACUGUGCAAUGUCUCAUUCCAUUAGGCUAACAGUGUCACCCCUUAGCGAGCUUUCGACCAACGACUCCCAGACCAUAUAAGACCUUAGGGCGCUAGGUUUUAAGAUACCCCUUCGGGCGUACUUACUCAAGUAACAAAGGCCCCGAAACAAAACUAGCCACGGUAAUUUUUUUUUUUUUUUUUUUUCUCUUUUUUUUAUAGAUGGUUGGUGAGUGCGUUUUACGCUCCAUCUCACGCUUGUGUUUAUGGGGAGUGUUUCUCCUCAACCCACCACAAGACUCAACAUGUUUUUUUUUUUAAGCUUAUAUACCCCAAAAUUUCCCCCCAAACUUAAGUUUUUAUCAAAAUUUAGCCAUCUCCGCCUAUUCAUGUCUUUCAUUCCUUCACACUAGUAUUAUACUUAAGAAAUCCAUUAUGUAUCAAUUUAAACUUAAUCAGUUAACAUAGCUGUUAUUAACGUGCUAACCUUGAUUAUACCAGUUUCAAACAGGAAAAGAUUCAAUUCAUAACAAGAAAUCACAUCAAAGCCUGAAUAUUCAAUACUAUACUUAUCUACUUAACUCCAGUCUCAU